CGUGCCAGCAGCCGCGGUAAUACGGAGGAUGCAAGCGUUAUCCGGAUUUAUUGGGUUUAAAGGGUACGUAGGCGGAAGAUUAAGUCAGUGGUGAAAUCCUGCAGCUUAACUGUAGAACUGUCAUUGAUACUGGUUUUCUUGAAUGUAGUUGAGGUAGGCGGAAUGUGUAAUGUAGCGGUGAAAUGCUUAGAUAUUACACAGAACACCGAUUGCGAAGGCAGCUUACUAAACUGCGAUUGACGCUGAGGUACGAAAGCGUGGGGAGCGAACAGGAUUAGAUACCCUGGUAGUCCACGCUGUAAACGAUGAUCACUCGUUGUUGGCAAUACACCGUCAGCGACUGAGCGAAAGCAUUAAGUGAUCCACCUGGGGAGUACGACCGCAAGGUUGAAACUCAAAGGAAUUGACGGGGGCCCGCACAAGCGGAGGAACAUGUGGUUUAAUUCGAUGAUACGCGAGGAACCUUACCUGGGCUUAAAUGUAGAACGACGGAUCGGGAAACUGAUCUUUCUUCGGACGGUCUGCAAGGUGCUGCAUGGCUGUCGUCAGCUCGUGCCGUGAGGUGUCGGGUUAAGUCCCAUAACGAGCGCAACCCUCAUCAUUAGUUGCCAGCGGGUAAUGCCGGGGACUCUAAUGAAACUGCCGGUGUAAACCGAGAGGAAGGUGGGGAUGACGUCAAGUCAGCACGGCCCUUAUGUCCAGGGCUACACACGUGUUACAAUGGUCGGUACAAAGGGCAGCUACCUGGUAACAGGAUGCUAAUCUCGAAAACCGGUCUCAGUUCGGAUCGGAGUCUGCAACUCGACUUCGUGAAGCU
This 817-nucleotide ribosomal RNA is filed under the name uncultured organism. RNAcentral describes it as "bacterial SSU rRNA". It matches the Rfam family "Bacterial small subunit ribosomal RNA", at positions 504 to 1327 of the family's 1533-position model. The record is from RNAcentral.